RNAcentral lists this ribosomal RNA (497 nucleotides) under uncultured bacterium. RNAcentral describes it as "partial 16S ribosomal RNA". It matches the Rfam family "Bacterial small subunit ribosomal RNA", at positions 28 to 507 of the family's 1533-position model. The record is from RNAcentral.
GAUGUACGCUGGCGGCGUGCCUAAUACAUGCAAGUCGAGCGAACGGACGAGAAGCUUGCUUCUCUGAUGUUAGCGGCGGACGGGUGAGUAACACGUGGAUAACCUACCUAUAAGACUGGGAUAACUUCGGGAAACCGGAGCUAAUACCGGAUAAUAUUAUGAACCGCAUGGUUCAAAAGUGAAAGACGGUCUUGCUGUCACUUAUAGAUGGAUCCGCGCUGCAUUAGCUAGUUGGUAAGGUAACGGCUUACCAAGGCAACGAUGCAUAGCCGACCUGAGAGGGUGAUCGGCCACACUGGAACUGAGACACGGUCCAGACUCCUACGGGAGGCAGCAGUAGGGAAUCUUCCGCAAUGGGCGAAAGCCUGACGGAGCAACGCCGCGUGAGUGAUGAAGGUCUUCGGAUCGUAAAACUCUGUUAUUAGGGAAGAACAUAUGUGUAAGUAACUGUGCACAUCUUGACGGUACCUAAUCAGAAAGCCACGGCUAACUACGUG